UUUAUGGAGAGUUUGAUCCUGGCUCAGGAUGAACGCUGGCGGCGUGCCUAAUACAUGCAAGUCGAGCGAACGGACGAGAAGCUUGCUUCUCUGAUGUUAGCGGCGGACGGGUGAGUAACACGUGGAUAACCUACCUAUAAGACUGGGAUAACUUCGGGAAACCGGAGCUAAUACCGGAUAAUAUUUUGAACCGCAUGGUUCAAAAGUGAAAGACGGUCUUGCUGUCACUUAUAGAUGGAUCCGCGCUGCAUUAGCUAGUUGGUAAGGUAACGGCUUACCAAGGCAACGAUGCAUAGCCGACCUGAGAGGGUGAUCGGCCACACUGGAACUGAGACACGGUCCAGACUCCUACGGGAGGCAGCAGUAGGGAAUCUUCCGCAAUGGGCGAAAGCCUGACGGAGCAACGCCGCGUGAGUGAUGAAGGUCUUCGGAUCGUAAAACUCUGUUAUUAGGGAAGAACAUAUGUGUAAGUAACUGUGCACAUCUUGACGGUACCUAAUCAGAAAGCCACGGCUAACUACGUGCCAGCAGCCGCGGUAAUACGUAGGUGGCAAGCGUUAUCCGGAAUUAUUGGGCGUAAAGCGCGCGUAGGCGGUUUUUUAAGUCUGAUGUGAAAGCCCACGGCUCAACCGUGGAGGGUCAUUGGAAACUGGAAAACUUGAGUGCAGAAGAGGAAAGUGGAAUUCCAUGUGUAGCGGUGAAAUGCGCAGAGAUAUGGAGGAACACCAGUGGCGAAGGCGACUUUCUGGUCUGUAACUGACGCUGAUGUGCGAAAGCGUGGGGAUCAAACAGGAUUAGAUACCCUGGUAGUCCACGCCGUAAACGAUGAGUGCUAAGUGUUAGGGGGUUUCCGCCCCUUAGUGCUGCAGCUAACGCAUUAAGCACUCCGCCUGGGGAGUACGACCGCAAGGUUGAAACUCAAAGGAAUUGACGGGGACCCGCACAAGCGGUGGAGCAUGUGGUUUAAUUCGAAGCAACGCGAAGAACCUUACCAAAUCUUGACAUCCU
This 1008-nucleotide ribosomal RNA is filed under the name Enterobacter cloacae. RNAcentral's name for it is "bacterial SSU rRNA". It matches the Rfam family "Bacterial small subunit ribosomal RNA", at positions 1 to 990 of the family's 1533-position model. The record is from RNAcentral. RNAcentral also lists the same sequence under 1 other name. Lineage: Bacteria; Pseudomonadati; Pseudomonadota; Gammaproteobacteria; Enterobacterales; Enterobacteriaceae.